Molecule: ribosomal RNA, 127 nt
Filed under: uncultured bacterium
Lineage: Bacteria
Description: partial 16S ribosomal RNA
Source: RNAcentral
CGUCAAAACUUUAAGGUAUUAUCUCAAAGAUUUUCUUCUCAAUUGAAAGUGCUUUACAACCCGCAGGCCUUCUUCACACACGCGGUAUUGCUGGAUCAGGGUUNCCCCCAUUGUCCAAUAUUCCCCU